Molecule: long non-coding RNA, 1529 nt
Organism: Vombatus ursinus (common wombat)
Lineage: Eukaryota; Metazoa; Chordata; Mammalia; Diprotodontia; Vombatidae
Exons: 6
Source: RefSeq, a predicted model, not a curated record
UGGUGAAGUGGGCCGAAAAACCUGGGACUUCGGGCACAGUGAUCUCGGUUUGAGGGGCAGAGUUUAGGAAGGGGCUUUGGCAUUGGAACUUAGGAGAGCUCUCGUUUGGGUGUGGGAACUUUGACUCGACUCGCUGGGGUGGGAGUGCUACAGCCUGUUUUAGGAAGUAACCCCGAGGUGAGCGUCAAAGUAGCUAGCCUCUCUCCCACGCUACUUUGGGGACUCAGGCGACUGGACUCCCUCACCCCUCUACCUUAAGGAACUCUCUUGAAAGCCUACCUUGUGUCUUUUGCAGAGGGAGGGAGGUUGAAGUCUUGGGUUGAGGUGAUGGGAAGAAGCAUUCAAAGAAGGUUUGGACUCGGAUACCCACAGCGGGUGAGAGAAGAAGCAAUACUUGAGUGGAGGGAGUAGUGCCCCUCCCAUUCAUUGCUUCCCCUCCCCCCUCAGUUCAUUCAUUGAAGGAAGAUUUGGGAAAAAAAGCAGAUUGAAAGUGAAUUGAGCAUUACAAGGACAACGAGAUUAUAAAGAAAACUUUGAAAUGUUUAAGAAUUCUGAUUAAAGCAGUGAUCAGCCAUAUCUCUGGAGAAACUAAAGCAUAUUUUACCCACUUCCUGACCGAGGUGAUGGACAGAAGCUUCUUUACUACAUGUCUUCAGAGACCCACUUGUGCUGGGCAAGGAGUGAGGCCUUGAAGCCUUGAGAUCAUUUCUUGGAGGAGAGGACCCUGACCUCCGCACCCUUGUUUUGGAUUUGAUGGCCAUCUGUUGUUUCUUGCUCCUGGCAGCUUCCUUCCUCUUCCAUAUUCUGUGGUCUCUGGGCCAUGGGAACCUCAUAUCCAUCUUGAUUCAUUAGUUCUCCAUCCUGUCCAACUUUGGUAUAGGAAUUCCUAGUCCUACUGAAGAAGCCCCUCAACCCCAGGGCUGCUGUGGGAUGUAUCCAGUUUCUACAAGUUCAUGCAUUUGAACAGGGAGAGCUUAAGGAAGGCUGGUGUCUAGAUAGGUGUGGAUUCCAUGAGAUUUGCCCUUUAAGCUCUGCUUGUCCCAGAAGAAAAGGGAAGCCUGGAAUGUCCUGACUCUGCCCUUCCAGUUCAGUUUGGAAAAGCAGCAAUCCUUGCUUUAUCCUACCCUAGCCUCUUCUACCAACCUUAUAUACAUAUAUUUUAUGGGUCUAAUUAUGAUGACUACCUACCUAGAAGAUUCAGACAAUGACCUGGAUAUCUGAUGGUGCUCAUGGACUGACUAUGUAUGAAUCCUGACUAACCUUGACCUACUACCUGCAGCUAUACAGUAUACAGUCAACACUUCAAUUUGUAGAUCAUGUUCUGAAAUCCCUGUGUAAGCCACAAAGUGAUAUAGUUAAAAUUACCCUUGAAAUGACUCAUAAAAUACAUUAUAGUAUCUUUAAACAGUUAUAGCUGGAAAGGAGCUAGGGUCUCUUUGAAGGAAGGCAGUCUCUAUCAGAGAGUGAAGAAACUGAAGUUGUUACUAUAGAAACAAUUGAAAAUAAAUUUUAUUUUUCACUAUAUUCAA